This 576-nucleotide ribosomal RNA is filed under the name uncultured bacterium. RNAcentral's name for it is "partial 16S ribosomal RNA". It matches the Rfam family "Bacterial small subunit ribosomal RNA", at positions 355 to 923 of the family's 1533-position model. The record is from RNAcentral.
UGGGGAAUUUUGGACAAUGGGGGAAACCCUGAUCCAGCCAUCCCGCGUGUGCGAUGAAGGCCUUCGGGUUGUAAAGCACUUUUGGCAGGAAAGAAACGUCGCGGGUUAAUACCCCGCGAAACUGACGGUACCUGCAGAAUAAGCACCGGCUAACUACGUGCCAGCAGCCGCGGUAAUACGUAGGGUGCAAGCGUUAAUCGGAAUUACUGGGCGUAAAGCGUGCGCAGGCGGUUCGGAAAGAAAGAUGUGAAAUCCCAGAGCUUAACUUUGGAACUGCAUUUUUAACUACCGGGCUAGAGUGUGUCAGAGGGAGGUGGAAUUCCGCGUGUAGCAGUGAAAUGCGUAGAUAUGCGGAGGAACACCGAUGGCGAAGGCAGCCUCCUGGGAUAACACUGACGCUCAUGCACGAAAGCGUGGGGAGCAAACAGGAUUAGAUACCCUGGUAGUCCACGCCCUAAACGAUGUCAACUAGCUGUUGGGGCCUUCGGGCCUUGGUAGCGCAGCUAACGCGUGAAGUUGACCGCCUGGGGAGUACGGUCGGCAAGAUUAAAACUCAAAUGAAUUGACGGGGUCGAU